RNAcentral lists this ribosomal RNA (2891 nucleotides) under Escherichia coli O182:H21. RNAcentral's name for it is "bacterial LSU rRNA". It matches the Rfam family "Bacterial large subunit ribosomal RNA". Lineage: Bacteria; Pseudomonadati; Pseudomonadota; Gammaproteobacteria; Enterobacterales; Enterobacteriaceae. The record is from RNAcentral.
ACUAAGCGUACACGGUGGAUGCCCUGGCAGUCAGAGGCGAUGAAGGACGUGCUAAUCUGCGAUAAGCGUCGGUAAGGUGAUAUGAACCGUUAUAACCGGCGAUUUCCGAAUGGGGAAACCCAGUGUGAUUCGUCACACUAUCAUUAACUGAAUCCAUAGGUUAAUGAGGCGAACCGGGGAACUGAAACAUCUAAGUACCCCGAGGAAAAGAAAUCAACCGAGAUUCCCCCAGUAGCGGCGAGCGAACGGGGAGCAGCCCAGAGCCUGAAUCAGUGUGUGUGUUAGUGGAAGCGUCUGGAAAGGCGCGCGAUACAGGGUGACAGCCCCGUACACAAAAAUGCACAUGCUGUGAGCUCGAUGAGUAGGGCGGGACACGUGGUAUCCUGUCUGAAUAUGGGGGGACCAUCCUCCAAGGCUAAAUACUCCUGACUGACCGAUAGUGAACCAGUACCGUGAGGGAAAGGCGAAAAGAACCCCGGCGAGGGGAGUGAAAAAGAACCUGAAACCGUGUACGUACAAGCAGUGGGAGCACGCUUAGGCGUGUGACUGCGUACCUUUUGUAUAAUGGGUCAGCGACUUAUAUUCUGUAGCAAGGUUAACCGAAUAGGGGAGCCGAAGGGAAACCGAGUCUUAACUGGGCGUUAAGUUGCAGGGUAUAGACCCGAAACCCGGUGAUCUAGCCAUGGGCAGGUUGAAGGUUGGGUAACACUAACUGGAGGACCGAACCGACUAAUGUUGAAAAAUUAGCGGAUGACUUGUGGCUGGGGGUGAAAGGCCAAUCAAACCGGGAGAUAGCUGGUUCUCCCCGAAAGCUAUUUAGGUAGCGCCUCGUGAAUUCAUCUCCGGGGGUAGAGCACUGUUUCGGCAAGGGGGUCAUCCCGACUUACCAACCCGAUGCAAACUGCGAAUACCGGAGAAUGUUAUCACGGGAGACACACGGCGGGUGCUAACGUCCGUCGUGAAGAGGGAAACAACCCAGACCGCCAGCUAAGGUCCCAAAGUCAUGGUUAAGUGGGAAACGAUGUGGGAAGGCCCAGACAGCCAGGAUGUUGGCUUAGAAGCAGCCAUCAUUUAAAGAAAGCGUAAUAGCUCACUGGUCGAGUCGGCCUGCGCGGAAGAUGUAACGGGGCUAAACCAUGCACCGAAGCUGCGGCAGCGACGCUGAUGCGUUGUUGGGUAGGGGAGCGUUCUGUAAGCCUGCGAAGGUGUGCUGUGAGGCAUGCUGGAGGUAUCAGAAGUGCGAAUGCUGACAUAAGUAACGAUAAAGCGGGUGAAAAGCCCGCUCGCCGGAAGACCAAGGGUUCCUGUCCAACGUUAAUCGGGGCAGGGUGAGUCGACCCCUAAGGCGAGGCCGAAAGGCGUAGUCGAUGGGAAACAGGUUAAUAUUCCUGUACUUGGUGUUACUGCGAAGGGGGGACGGAGAAGGCUAUGUUGGCCGGGCGACGGUUGUCCCGGUUUAAGCGUGUAGGCUGGUUUUCCAGGCAAAUCCGGAAAAUCAAGGCUGAGGCGUGAUGACGAGGCACUACGGUGCUGAAGCAACAAAUGCCCUGCUUCCAGGAAAAGCCUCUAAGCAUCAGGUAACAUCAAAUCGUACCCCAAACCGACACAGGUGGUCAGGUAAAGAAUACCAAGGCGCUUGAGAGAACUCGGGUGAAGGAACUAGGCAAAAUGGUGCCGUAACUUCGGGAGAAGGCACGCUGAUAUGUAGGUGAAGUCCCUCGCGGAUGGAGCUGAAAUCAGUCGAAGAUACCAGCUGGCUGCAACUGUUUAUUAAAAACACAGCACUGUGCAAACACGAAAGUGGACGUAUACGGUGUGACGCCUGCCCGGUGCCGGAAGGUUAAUUGAUGGGGUUAGCGCAAGCGAAGCUCUUGAUCGAAGCCCCGGUAAACGGCGGCCGUAACUAUAACGGUCCUAAGGUAGCGAAAUUCCUUGUCGGGUAAGUUCCGACCUGCACGAAUGGCGUAAUGAUGGCCAGGCUGUCUCCACCCGAGACUCAGUGAAAUUGAACUCGCUGUGAAGAUGCAGUGUACCCGCGGCAAGACGGAAAGACCCCGUGAACCUUUACUAUAGCUUGACACUGAACAUUGAGCCUUGAUGUGUAGGAUAGGUGGGAGGCUUUGAAGUGUGGACGCCAGUCUGCAUGGAGCCGACCUUGAAAUACCACCCUUUAAUGUUUGAUGUUCUAACGUGGACCCGUAAUCCGGGUUGCGGACAGUGUCUGGUGGGUAGUUUGACUGGGGCGGUCUCCUCCUAAAGAGUAACGGAGGAGCACGAAGGUUGGCUAAUCCUGGUCGGACAUCAGGAGGUUAGUGCAAUGGCAUAAGCCAGCUUGACUGCGAGCGUGACGGCGCGAGCAGGUGCGAAAGCAGGUCAUAGUGAUCCGGUGGUUCUGAAUGGAAGGGCCAUCGCUCAACGGAUAAAAGGUACUCCGGGGAUAACAGGCUGAUACCGCCCAAGAGUUCAUAUCGACGGCGGUGUUUGGCACCUCGAUGUCGGCUCAUCACAUCCUGGGGCUGAAGUAGGUCCCAAGGGUAUGGCUGUUCGCCAUUUAAAGUGGUACGCGAGCUGGGUUUAGAACGUCGUGAGACAGUUCGGUCCCUAUCUGCCGUGGGCGCUGGAGAAUUGAGGGGGCUGCUCCUAGUACGAGAGGACCGGAGUGGACGCAUCACUGGUGUUCGGGUUGUCAUGCCAAUGGCACUGCCCGGUAGCUAAAUGCGGAAGAGAUAAGUGCUGAAAGCAUCUAAGCACGAAACUUGCCCCGAGAUGAGUUCUCCCUGACUCCUUGAGAGUCCUGAAGGAACGUUGAAGACGACGACGUUGAUAGGCCGGGUGUGUAAGCGCAGCGAUGCGUUGAGCUAACCGGUACUAAUGAACCGUGAGGCUUAACC